CAUUAACGAGAUAUGAACUUACAAUUCAUAAACCCAAUCCGCGUAUUUGUCCUUGUUGCUUCCGUAAGUUUGAUGACUUGAUCAUCACUCCCCCUUAUCGAGGGAGCUUACGGGAGGAUUGUUCAACCCAUGUUUUAUUCAAGAAGUCUGAAGUUUUGCAAAUACAAACAUUAAAACUUUCAACAACGGAUCUCUUGGUUCUCGCAUCGAUGAAGAGCGCAGCGAAAUGCGAUAACUAGUGUGAAUUGCAGAAUUCCGUGAAUCAUCGAGUUCUUGAACGCAUAUUGCGCCCCUUGGUAUUCCAGAGGGCAUGCCUGUUCGAGUGUCAUUAAAUCACCUCAGGUUUGGAUUAUUCCACUUCCUGGUAUUGAAUUUGGAGCGUMAUUUUURAUGCYCCUUUUUGAAAUCGAAUGGCGCAAAUGAUUGUCAAUUCUGUGUAAUAAGUUUUACUCCUCACAAAUUGAGCUCUCACUUUGCAGUCUUUCAAUAUWUGAUACUUCAUCUUUAUGACCUCGGAUCAGGUAAGGAUACCCGCUGAACUUAAGCAUAUCAAUAAGCGGAGGAAAAGAAACCAACAGGGAUUGCCUUAGUAACUGCGAGUGAAGCGGCAUAAGCUCAAAUUUUAAAUCUGGCACCUUUGGUGUCCGAGUUGUAAUUUGGAGAGAUACCUUCGGGAUAGGCACCGUCCUAAGUUCCUUGGAACAGGACAUCACAGAGGGUGAGAAUCCCGUAUGUGGAUGGCUGUCUUAUCCCAUGUGAAGUGUCUUCAACGAGUCGAGUUGUUUGGGAAUGCAGCUCAAAAUGGGUGGUAAAUGUCAUCUAAAGCUAAAUAAUGGCGAGAGACCGAUAGCGCACAAGUAGAGUGAUCGAAAGAUGAAAAGCACUUUGAAAAGAGAGUUAAAAAGUACGUGAAAUUGUUGAAAGGGAAGCGCUUGGGACCAGACACAGAUUUCGGUGAUCAACAGGCCCUCGGGACUGUGCACUUGCCGUUAACUGGGACAGCAUCGGUUCAGAUGGCUGGAUAAAGGUUUGGGGAAUGUGGCUUCCUUCGGGAAGUGUUAUAGCCUCAGGCGCAAUGCAGUCAAUUUGGACCGAGGACCGCACAUUAAGUUAGGAUGCUGUCAAAAUGGUUCUCAGCGACCCGUCUUGAAACACGGACCAAGGAGUAUAACAUCUAUGCGAGUGUUNGGCUGGAAAACCCUUGCGCGCAAUGAAAGUGAACGGAGGUGGGAACUCNUUCAAAGGAGUGCACCAUCGACCGAUCNUGAUGUUUUNGGAUGGAUUUGAGUAAGAGCAUAGCUGUUGGGACCCGAAAGAUGGUGAACUAUGCCUGAAUAGGGUGAAGCCAGAGGAAACUCUGGUGGAGGCUCGCAGCGGUUCUGACGUGCAAAUCGAUCGUCAAAUUUGGGUAUAGGGGCGAAAG
This 1423-nucleotide ribosomal RNA is filed under the name uncultured Pyronemataceae. RNAcentral describes it as "eukaryotic LSU rRNA". The stretch from base 508 to 1423 matches the Rfam family "Eukaryotic large subunit ribosomal RNA", at positions 1 to 929 of the family's 3401-position model. The record is from RNAcentral. Lineage: Eukaryota; Fungi; Ascomycota; Pezizomycetes; Pezizales; Pyronemataceae.